GCCAGCGUAGCUCAGGGGUAGAGCAACUGAUUCGUAAUCAGUAGGUCGGCGGUUCAAUUCCGCCCGCUGGCUCCA
Molecule: transfer RNA, 75 nt
Filed under: Candidatus Nitromaritima sp. SCGC AAA799-A02
Lineage: Bacteria; Pseudomonadati; Nitrospinota; Nitrospinia; Nitrospinales; Nitrospinaceae
Also listed under: 8 other names
Description: Nitrospina sp. SCGC_AAA799_A02 tRNA-Thr
Rfam family: tRNA
About the family: Transfer RNA (tRNA) molecules are approximately 80 nucleotides in length.
Source: RNAcentral